This 106-nucleotide non-coding RNA is filed under the name Deltaproteobacteria bacterium. RNAcentral's name for it is "TPP sequence". It matches the Rfam family "TPP riboswitch aptamer (THI element)". Rfam says of the family: Vitamin B(1) in its active form thiamin pyrophosphate (TPP) is an essential coenzyme that is synthesised by coupling of pyrimidine and thiazole moieties in bacteria. The previously detected thiamin-regulatory element, thi box was extended, resulting in a new, highly conserved RNA secondary structure, the THI element, which is widely distributed in eubacteria and also occurs in some archaea. Lineage: Bacteria; Pseudomonadati; Myxococcota; Myxococcia. The record is from RNAcentral.
CAGAUUUGCUGGGGGAGCUGGACCGGCUGAGAGAUUUCGCCAAAGGCGGGAUGACCCCUCGAACCUGUUGGAUAAUGCCAGCGGAGGAAAGCAAAUCGAAAAGAGU